CCGGAGUCCCCGCGGCGGCGGCGGUCCGGGGUGAGGGCGAGCCCGGCGCGGCGAGUGUGCCUAGGGGACCAAGCGCUACCACGAGGCCGGGACGCUGGACCCUGGGGUCGGUUUUCAAGAAGGGGGAGGAGACUUGGAGGAUACCCCAGCUCCUGGCCGUAGCUGACCCCACCGCCUUCCCUGCGGAAUCCUUUCCCUCACUCCGCAGCCCGCACGCCAGCUGCCACCUUACUGGAGAAUAACCACACCUAUGCUUCUAUCCGCUUUGGAGAAGAGGUGAGCUGAGAAACCAGGGAAUCCCCUGUAGCUCCAGGUCUCUUAGCUAGAACCCCAACACCCUAGAAUUGGCAGAAAGCGCACCUUUCACCUGCUGAUUGCGUUCAGCACAUCUGUCUUCAACCUCCUGGCAAGUUGUGGUCCACAGUUGUGUCGGGAUUUUUCUCUUCCUUCACCCCUGUACCCUACCACUGGCAACCAACGGCUGGGCUUAGGUUGUGAAAGGGAGAGGUGGUCCCCUUGGGCCCAGUGUGCUGUGUUUUAUUCCCCAGUGAGUCUUCCAAUCGAAAUCUGCUCACAUCUUGCAGUCCCCUCUACCCUUCUCCUAAACUUAGCUCAGAAGCAGGCCUAAGCAGCCUGUCUUCUGGCUUUUUUUUUUCCCCUGGGCGGCACCCUGGCCCCUUUUGGUUUUCCAGAGCCAAACACGCCUCCCAAGCAGACGGCACACCCAGCCCCAAGUCUAACCAUUCCAAAGGGAGGAGGAAACAAGGGAAGAGAAGGGACUUAAGGGUUUCUGUCUGGAAUAUCAUAACAGUAUUUCCCUCUUCAAGCCUCCUAGAUAUAUAAUCCCUGUGUUAUUCUUACCAACGUGUUAUUCUGUUAUGACUGUGUUAUUCUACCACCCUUCUUGCCCCUGGUCCUUCAUAGAUUAUUGGAGGAAGAAGAUGGAUAGAGAAAGAGAUGGUCACCCUUAUUCUCUAGAAGGAGACAUUUUUCUCCUUUCAUUUGUGACAUAUUCAGCAUGUAAAAUAAGUAAAUGUUUGGACGCUUAUUUGAA
Non-coding RNA from Ictidomys tridecemlineatus (thirteen-lined ground squirrel), 1054 nucleotides. The record is from RefSeq and is a predicted model, not a curated record. Lineage: Eukaryota; Metazoa; Chordata; Mammalia; Rodentia; Sciuridae.